AAAAGGGUCGACGGCGAUCUGAUGCGCGUACUACGCACACGGCCAUGGUUGUCGCCGCGGUGGCGGCCGCAGUCUGCCAAGCGCACAACGUUGAGCGGCGCCGGGUCGGCGGCAGCAAAGUAAUCCACAUCAACCACGUCGCCAAAGCGCCCCAUACAAAGGGGAUCGUCUGUACAGGACGCGCCGACGGCACGACGGUACAGUUGGCGCAUCGACGGCGGGUCAAAGACGACGGCAGCGGCCCAUCGACAGGCCAUUCCCAUGCGCGCCACGUCGACGGCAGAGCAGUGCGACAAGAUGGCGAGUGCAAUCUCGGCGGGCAGGUCAGUGAGGCCGAUGGCAUCGUCGUCCGUCGUGCCCGCAACGUCGGCGGCAUUGGAUGUGCGUUGACGCUUGGCGCCACGACGGCGUUUGCCAGGCUGUCCGCCCCGUCUCUUGCACGAUGGCACCGCCGUCUCCCCGUCGUUUGGUUGGCGGUGUGGGUCGUCGCCGUCGAUGACCGGGUCGGCCGGUGACGGGAUCUCGGUUUCCAUGCGUUGUUCUGUAGGGUGUCCCUUUGCCCUGUGCUUUUCCAGUGUUUUCUUCUCCCUCCCCCUCCCUCUCCGGUGUGCUUGGCGAGUUUAAUAUGGCGUCACCGCUUUGGUGCGUCUUGUGCCGGCAGCGUAUGGUCCGUCCGUUUUGUCUUUCUUUUUUCUUCCUCCCCUACUUUUCGAUA
RNAcentral lists this long non-coding RNA (715 nucleotides) under Pandoravirus neocaledonia. RNAcentral's name for it is "hypothetical ncRNA". The record is from RNAcentral.